This 473-nucleotide ribosomal RNA is filed under the name uncultured bacterium. Its description in RNAcentral is "bacterial SSU rRNA". It matches the Rfam family "Bacterial small subunit ribosomal RNA", at positions 335 to 801 of the family's 1533-position model. The record is from RNAcentral.
ACUCCUACGGGAGGCAGCAGUAGGGAAUCUUCCACAAUGGGCGCAAGCCUGAUGGAGCAACACCGCGUGAGUGAAGAAGGGUUUCGGCUCGUAAAGCUCUGUUGUUAAAGAAGAACACGUAUGAGAGUAACUGUUCAUACGUUGACGGUAUUUAACCAGAAAGUCACGGCUAACUACGUGCCAGCAGCCGCGGUAAUACGUAGGUGGCAAGCGUUAUCCGGAUUUAUUGGGCGUAAAGAGAGUGCAGGCGGUUUUCUAAGUCUGAUGUGAAAGCCUUCGGCUUAACCGGAGAAGUGCAUCGGAAACUGGAUAACUUGAGUGCAGAAGAGGGUAGUGGAACUCCAUGUGUAGCGGUGGAAUGCGUAGAUAUAUGGAAGAACACCAGUGGCGAAGGCGGCUACCUGGUCUGCAACUGACGCUGAGACUCGAGAGCAUGGGUAGCGAACAGGAUUAGAUACCCUGGUAGGAUAGCG